Molecule: long non-coding RNA, 608 nt
Filed under: Numida meleagris (helmeted guineafowl)
Lineage: Eukaryota; Metazoa; Chordata; Aves; Galliformes; Numididae
Description: lncRNA (ENSNMEG00000007083.1)
Source: RNAcentral
AAACAAAAAGGGAACUGUAGUUCGAUAGUUCAUCUUGCAGCCUGCAGUGGGGAUACAGAUGCUGUAAUCCCAUAGGUUCUGACUCUCCAGUACUCCUGCCCUACUGCAGCACAUGACCAGCCUUCAGCCAGUUGCUUGGGCACAGCUCUUGGUUGUCAGAAGGAGGCCAGUGGUAUCUUCUAGCAAUUGGGAACUGGAGUUUUCCAGGAUAGCAGCUCAAGGUGGAAUGAGGCAGCUUUCUCUAAGUGAAAGACGUCCUUUGAAAGGCUGACCUUGAAUUCAAAUACAGAAAAGGAAGUCAAACCACUCAGGAAUACUGUGAGGCAAAACUAACAAAUUUGAAUCCUGACUUCAUGAGCGACAACCACUGAAACUGAUAACAAACCAAAACUGUGAGUAUUCAAGGUUUCCUUGGAAUUGCAUGUCUCUGGCUUGUUGGUUGUUUUUUUUAUUUUUGGAUCAUAACAUUAUAGUUGAAAUCAUUCAUUGUGAUAGUGUUCCUGUCAGAGCUGUAACUGGUUUGCUUUGCCAGGCUCAUUUUGAUGAAGUGUGAAACAAAUCUCAAUGAUAGUUCUCACAAUGAAGAUACAUCUCUCAGUCAACCUUAC